CUAGUAAAAUGACCACAACAGGAUUCGAUUUUGAAGCCCUAGUGGGAUUACAGUGAAGGAGGCUCUCAUUCUUAAAAUGGUUGCCAUUCUGGGGCACAAACUGUCCUGGCUUUAUAAGGUGUUGUGUCAGAGUGCACGGACAACUUUCCAUCUUCCUGAGGUAUCAAGGAGAUACCACAGUAGGACCUCCAGCUGUACUAAGACUAUCGCAUUUACGUAAUCGUCCUCUUAUUAGGAAGAUUCUGCUGAACUGCUGACAAUGAUGUACAGUAGUGCUUCGCCGGUAUGACGUUUGGGGAAAACGAUUCUGCUGCACCACCACACAAAACCAAUUAGAGAACUAUUUUCUGCGACAGUCGGUCAAAAGCUGUAUUCUUCACCAGCUUUCCGCCGGGUAAAGAGGACGCAGCUCAGAGAUCCAGGGGAAAAUUAACUUAAUGCUCCGAGUCUGUGGGAUCACAUCAGGGAGACGUUUUGCUAUCGUGAAGACGUGAGGGUCACCGUUCGCUGCAGCCGUGUUCAGCUCAGCAGCAAUAAGCUGAGCACCGUUGAACACCGUGGCACGGCUCCGCGCCUUCCAGGGGGAAACGCAGCACCCCUUCGACUCGCGACCCACAGCGGGCUGAUAACAGAGACCUGUCUUCAUCUCCAUCUUUGCUUUUCUUUGGAAGAUGGAGGUUGUAAUGACUCACAGACGUCUGCCAACACACAGCAAAGACAAGAGUGCAGCUGAGGCUUUCUUGCCCCCUGAAAUACAACGCUUCACUGCACAAAGCUUUAGGCAGUACUGCUCACCUCAGCCAGGCUUCCUGAAAACCUCAGCUUCUCACCUGCAGUCUGCUGGCGCUCAAAAGUUUGUGCUGC
Oxyura jamaicensis (ruddy duck) is the source of this 864-nucleotide long non-coding RNA. RefSeq lists it as uncharacterized. Lineage: Eukaryota; Metazoa; Chordata; Aves; Anseriformes; Anatidae. The transcript has 3 exons. The record is from RefSeq and is a predicted model, not a curated record.